Molecule: long non-coding RNA, 234 nt
Filed under: Elaeis guineensis (African oil palm)
Lineage: Eukaryota; Viridiplantae; Streptophyta; Magnoliopsida; Arecales; Arecaceae
Description: long non-coding RNA (EGUI_LNC038201)
Source: RNAcentral
CUCAAUGAUGCAUCUACAAUAGGCUCAGGGUUUGAUCUAAUCAACACUAGUUCUCUAGAUUCACUAGAUUGUGUCGAUUUUUCUAUCCAUUGAACUUCAUCAAGUUCAACUUAGAGGCAUUAGUUCCUUCUUCAAGGAACUCCUUUUCCAAAAAGGCAGUCCUAAGGCUUACGAACACCUUUUGUUCAUCAGCAAGGUAGAAAUAAUAUUUCUUAGUUUCUUUCAGAUAUCUUA